Molecule: ribosomal RNA, 468 nt
Filed under: uncultured bacterium
Lineage: Bacteria
Description: partial 16S ribosomal RNA
Rfam family: Bacterial small subunit ribosomal RNA
Source: RNAcentral
GACGAACGCUGGCGGCGUGCUUAACACAUGCGAGUCGAACGGAAAGGCCCUGCUUUUGUGGGGUGCUCGAGUGGCGAACGGGUGAGUAACACGUGAGUAACCUGCCCUUGACUUUGGGAUAACUUCAGGAAACUGGGGCUAAUAUCGGAUAGGAGCUCCUGCUGCAUGGUGGGGGUUGGAAAGUUUCGGCGGUUGGGGAUGGACUCGCGGCUUAUCAGCUUGUUGGUGGGGUAGUGGCUUACCAAGGCUUUGACGGGUAGCCGGCCUGAGAGGGUGACCGGCCACAAUAGGACUGAGAUACGGCCCAGACUCCUACGGGAGGCAGCAGGCGGGAAUAUUACACAAUAGGCGGAAGCCUGAUGCAGCAACGCCGCGUGCGGGAUGACGGCCUUCUAGUUAUAAACCGCUUUCGCCUGUGACGAAGCGUGAGUGACGGUAAUGGGUAAAGAAGCACCGGCUAACUACGUG